GAUGAACGCUGGCGGCGUGCCUAAUACAUGCAAGUCGAGCGAACAGACGAGGAGCUUGCUCCUCUGACGUUAGCGGCGGACGGGUGAGUAACACGUGGAUAACCUACCUAUAAGACUGGGAUAACUUCGGGAAACCGGAGCUAAUACCGGAUAAUAUAUUGAACCGCAUGGUUCAAUAGUGAAAGACGGUUUUGCUGUCACUUAUAGAUGGAUCCGCGCCGCAUUAGCUAGUUGGUAAGGUAACGGCUUACCAAGGCAACGAUGCGUAGCCGACCUGAGAGGGUGUACGGCCACACUGGAACUGAGACACGGUCCAGACUCCUACGGGAGGCAGCAGUAGGGAAUCUUCCGCAAUGGGCGAAAGCUUGACGGAGCAACGCCGCGUGAGUGAUGAAGGUCUUCGGAUCGUAAAACUCUGUUAUUAGGGAAGACCAAAUGUGUAAGUAACUAUGCACGUCUUGACGGUACCUAAUCAGAAAGCCACGGCUAACUACGUG
This 497-nucleotide ribosomal RNA is filed under the name uncultured bacterium. Its description in RNAcentral is "partial 16S ribosomal RNA". It matches the Rfam family "Bacterial small subunit ribosomal RNA", at positions 28 to 507 of the family's 1533-position model. The record is from RNAcentral.